This 468-nucleotide ribosomal RNA is filed under the name uncultured bacterium. RNAcentral describes it as "partial 16S ribosomal RNA". It matches the Rfam family "Bacterial small subunit ribosomal RNA", at positions 28 to 507 of the family's 1533-position model. The record is from RNAcentral.
GACGAACGCUGGCGGCGUGCUUAACACAUGCAAGUCGAACGGAAAGGCCCUGCUUUUGUGGGGUUCUCGAGUGGCGAACGGGUGAGUAACACGUGAGUAACCUGCCCUUGACUUUGGGAGAACUUCAGGAAACGGGGGCUAAUACCGGAUAGGAGCCCCUGCUGCGGGGUGGGGGUUGGAAAUUUUGGGCGGGUGGGGAUGGACGCGCGGCUUAUCAGCUUGUUGGUUGGGUAGGGGCAUACCAAGGCUUUGGCGGGUAGCUCGCCUGAGAGGGGGGCCGGCGACCUUGCGCCUGCGGUACGCACCAGACUCGAACGGUAGGCAGCAGUGGGGAAUAUUGCACAGUGAGCCGACGCGUGGUGAAGAAACGCCGCGUGCGGGAUGACGGCCUUCGGGUUGUAAACCGCUUUCGCCUGUGACGAAGCGUGAGUGACGGUAAUGAGUAAAGAAGCACCGGCUAACUACGUG